UACGUAGGGUGCAAGCGUUAAUCGGAAUUACUGGGCGUAAAGCGUGCGCAGGCGGUUGUGUAAGACAGAUGUGAAAUCCCCGGGCUCAACCUGGGAACUGCAUUUGUGACUGCAUGGCUAGAGUACGGUAGAGGGGGAUGGAAUUCCGCGUGUAGCAGUGAAAUGCGUAGAUAUGCGGAGGAACACCGAUGGCGAAGGCAAUCCCCUGGACCUGUACUGACGCUCAUGCACGAAAGCGUGGGGAGCAAACAGG
This 253-nucleotide ribosomal RNA is filed under the name uncultured bacterium. RNAcentral's name for it is "partial 16S ribosomal RNA". It matches the Rfam family "Bacterial small subunit ribosomal RNA", at positions 524 to 776 of the family's 1533-position model. The record is from RNAcentral.